Molecule: ribosomal RNA, 327 nt
Filed under: uncultured bacterium
Lineage: Bacteria
Description: partial 16S ribosomal RNA
Rfam family: Bacterial small subunit ribosomal RNA
Source: RNAcentral
GGGCGCAAGNCCUGAUGCAGCGACGCCGCGUGAGGGAUGGAGGCCUUCGGGUUGUAAACCUCUUUUAUCGGGGAGCAAGCGUGAGUGAGUUUACCCGUUGAAUAAGCACCGGCUAACUACGUGCCAGCAGCCGCGGUAAUACGUAGGGUGCAARMRWNNAWCCGGAAUUAUUGGGCGUAAAGGGCUCGUAGGCGGUUCGUCGCGUCCGGUGUGAAAGUCCAUCGCUUAACGGUGGAUCCGCGCCGGGUACGGGCGGGCUUGAGUGCGGUAGGGGAGACUGGAAUUCCCGGUGUAACGGUGGAAUGUGUAGAUAUCGGGAAGAACACC